GAUGAAGAACGCAGCGAAAUGCGAUAAGUAGUGUGAAUUGCAGAAUUCAGUGAAUCAUCGAAUCUUUGAACGCACAUUGCGCCUCCUGGUAUUCCGGGAGGCAUGCCUGUUCGAGCGUCAUUAAAAUCACUCAAGCUUAGGUUUACCUAUUGCUUGGUCUUGGAGAUGGAAGCCAAUUCAUUGGAAUCCUCUUCGAAAUCCAAUGGCGAAGACCCUUGCUCUCCCAAGUGUAGUAAUAACUUAUGUCACUGAAGGAAGCGAGAAAUCUUCCGCCGUAACCCCCAUAUUUUCUAUGAUUGACCUCGGAUCAGGUAGGGAUACCCGCUGAACUUAAGCAUAUCAAAAGCGGAGGA
RNAcentral lists this unclassified non-coding RNA (353 nucleotides) under soil metagenome. RNAcentral describes it as "partial contains 5.8S ribosomal RNA, internal transcribed spacer 2, and large subunit ribosomal RNA". The stretch from base 1 to 120 matches the Rfam family "5.8S ribosomal RNA", at positions 35 to 154 of the family's 154-position model. The record is from RNAcentral.